This 184-nucleotide unclassified non-coding RNA is filed under the name uncultured Pleosporales. RNAcentral describes it as "sequence contains ITS1". The record is from RNAcentral. Lineage: Eukaryota; Fungi; Ascomycota; Dothideomycetes; Pleosporales.
CACAAUAUUACGGGGGGCCGGACCCAAGUCUGUCUUCAAACCGCAGCUUGACCCGCCCUGUCUGAUAUUCUACCCAUGUCUUUUGCGUACUUUUUCGUUUCCUUGGUAGGCUUGCCUGCCGAUAGGACAACCAUUAAAACCUUUUUGUAAUUGCAAUCAGCGUCAGAAAAAAACUUAAUAGUUA